Molecule: long non-coding RNA, 591 nt
Organism: Daphnia magna
Lineage: Eukaryota; Metazoa; Arthropoda; Branchiopoda; Diplostraca; Daphniidae
Exons: 3
Source: RefSeq, a predicted model, not a curated record
UAGGUGAAGUCCUUGAGUGCCUCAAGAAUGAAUCGCCGAACAUCGUCAUACAGCGGUAUGUUUUCGUUCAACUAUUAAUCUUGCAUCUCCAACCGUGGAAUGAGUUACAUGUGACUUGAGACAAACAAACGGUGCAAUUGCAACAAUAAAAUUAGUCAGCGGUAUGGUCACUAUCAGCAGCUUUACACACAGUGUGCAUCGUAAAUACACCAAUCCCAGAGAAAACAUUCCAAUGGCAAAUAUUGGGAAUUUCUGCCCUACCAUCCUGAACUACACAAUGCUGGUUUGUAUAAAUAGGUAUAAAAAAACCUAUCAACAGUAUUUUUAGUUUGCAUUUUGCUUUAACAUACAACUCUAUGGCAUGUUGAUAUUAGCUAAAUUUUUAUUAUUUAUAAGAUUAGACAGUACGGAAAAUUCUUCUCUCGGAAGUUUAUGACUUUGGACUUCCUUGCGAUAACCCUUGAGGCAAGAAGCUUUUCCUGCUUUGUGUGGACAGGAACAUUAGAGGCAUUGAUGUCUGAAACCAACAAGUGUCUUGCAAAGAAAUUAAAAAGAAACAUUGAUGUUGGUUAUCCUCUGAGGGAUGCUGAA